Molecule: ribosomal RNA, 497 nt
Filed under: uncultured bacterium
Lineage: Bacteria
Description: partial 16S ribosomal RNA
Rfam family: Bacterial small subunit ribosomal RNA
Source: RNAcentral
GAUGAACGCUGGCGGCGUGCCUAAUACAUGCAAGUCGAGCGAACAGACGAGGAGCUUGCUCCUCUGACGUUAGCGGCGGACGGGUGAGUAACACGUGGAUAACCUACCUAUAAGACUGGGAUAACUUCGGGAAACCGGAGCUAAUACCGGAUAAUAUAUUGAACCGCAUGGUUCAAUAGUGAAAGACGGUUUUGCUGACACUUAUAGAUGGAUCCGCGCCGCAUUAGCUAGUUGGUAAGGUAACGGCUUACCAAGGCAACGAUACGUAGCCGACCUGAGAGGGUGAUCGGCCACACUAGAACUGAGACACGGUCCAGACUCCUACGGGAGGCAGCAGUAGGGAAUCUUCCGCAAUGGGCGAAAGCCUGACGGAGCAACGCCGCGUGAGUGAUGAAGGUCUUCGGGUCGUAAAACUCUGUUAUUAGGGAAGAACAAAUGUGUAAGUAACUAUGCACGUCUUGACGGUACCUAAUCAGAAAGCCACGGCUAACUACGUG